UUUAGCAGCACCUGAAAGGAAAGCACAAAAAACUACUGGAAGAAUGCAUUUAACAUUCUGACACAAGGUUGUCAGCCAGCUAUGAAACAUCGGUACACGUCAAUAGUUUCAUUUUCAGGUCACCGAGAUCUGCAGGCAAGACCUUCCUAGGCAAACUGUCAUCUGCUGAGGUCCAUCUUGCUUUAAGUAUGGGAUUUUUUUUUCUGUUGUGCCUCUGACCCUAUGGAAUCACCACUGCUUUGAAAUAAGACAAGCACCAGU
This is a long non-coding RNA of Lacerta agilis (Sand lizard), 261 nucleotides long. RefSeq lists it as uncharacterized. Lineage: Eukaryota; Metazoa; Chordata; Lepidosauria; Squamata; Lacertidae. The record is from RefSeq and is a predicted model, not a curated record. The transcript is spliced from 3 exons.